GCCUGCGGAAGGAUCAUUAAUAAUGGGCUACUGGCCGUGGGAAUUAGCGAAGGCUGAGAUGCUGGAGUGAAAUGAACCCCACAGAGACGCUGUAAACGUUCAGGGUGGCUAUUCAGGAUUAGGGAGAGUAGGCUGGGGUGAAGCCCUCCGAAACCCCGAAGCUGGUGAACUAACUUGACUCGAUUACACGCGAUCCAACAUUCUUGUUUAAUAUACCUUAGUUGCUUUGGCAGGCCACAGUUUACUGUGUAGGCUCCGGCUUACCGUGCCUGCCAGAGGACCAACAUAAUCUAUAGUUAGUGAUGUCUGAGUACUAUUUAAUAGUUAAAACUUUCAACAACGGAUCUCUUGGUUCUGGCAUCGAUGAAGAACGCAGCGAAAUGCGAUAAGUAAUGCGAAUUGCAGAAUUCAGUGAGUCAUCGAAUCUUUGAACGCACAUUGCGCCCCUUGGUAUUCCGAGGGGCAUGCCUGUUCGAGCGUCAUUAUAACCCUCAAGCCUAGCUUGGUAUUGGGGUCGCUGUACAGCGGCCCCUAAAAUCAGUGGCGGUGCCUGUAGGUUCUACGCGUAGUAAUUUUUCUCGCUAUGGAUCCCUAUAAGUGCUUGCCAACAACCCCAAAU
This 619-nucleotide ribosomal RNA is filed under the name uncultured fungus. RNAcentral's name for it is "eukaryotic LSU rRNA". The stretch from base 329 to 482 matches the Rfam family "5.8S ribosomal RNA". Lineage: Eukaryota; Fungi. The record is from RNAcentral.